Molecule: ribosomal RNA, 419 nt
Filed under: bacterium
Lineage: Bacteria
Description: partial 16S ribosomal RNA
Rfam family: Bacterial small subunit ribosomal RNA
Source: RNAcentral
UGGGGGAUAUUGCACACUGGGCGAAAGCCUGAUGCAGCGACGCCGCGUGGGGGAUGAAGGCCUUCGGGUUGUAAACUUCUUUUGCUCUGAACAAGGCGCACCAUGGGGAGUGUUGAGUGUAGGGGUUGAUUAGCGCCGGCUAACUACGUGCCAGCAGCCGAGGUAAUACGUAGGGCGCGAGCGUUGUCCGGAAUUAUUGGGCGUAAAGGGCUUGUAGGUGGCUGGUUGCGUCUGUCGUGAAAGCUCAUGGCUUAACUGUGGGUUUGCGGUGGGUACGGGCUGGCUUGAGUGCAGUAGGAGAGGCUGGAAUUCCUGGUGUAGCGGUGGAAUGCGCAGAUAUCAGGAGGAAUACCGGUGGCGAAGGCGGGUCUCUGGGCUGUUACUGACACUGAGGAGCGAAAGCAUGGGGAGCGAACAGG